Small nucleolar RNA from Delphinapterus leucas (beluga whale), 131 nucleotides. Ensembl annotates it as small nucleolar RNA SNORA30/SNORA37 family. Its record names the gene SNORA30. The record is from Ensembl. NCBI's taxonomy places the organism in Eukaryota, Metazoa, Chordata, Mammalia, Artiodactyla, Monodontidae.
CUAGCACUUUCACAGGUCCUCCCCCGGGCAGUGGGGCCAGGAUUUGGUAGCUGGUACUGAAAUUGAAAACCCUUGGUUGUAUCCUUGCUCUGGGACGGUGUCAUUGGCAACUGUCACUCAGUGGGACAGAG